Molecule: long non-coding RNA, 1122 nt
Organism: Sitophilus oryzae (rice weevil)
Lineage: Eukaryota; Metazoa; Arthropoda; Insecta; Coleoptera; Curculionidae
Exons: 4
Source: RefSeq, a predicted model, not a curated record
AGAUGGCUCCUUAGGUGUUAAAAAUUGUCACCCCAAUUUCACUCCAAUUUGGGAAAAUAUUGGAGUGACAUUUGAAUAAUCUGAAAUUUUUAGAUUCCUUUUCUAACUUUUUUGGGAGGUUUUGUUUCUCUUGCACAGAUGUCGCUUGCACUUCAGUUGCGUGGUUGCCAAACGUUAUAUCGAAAUAUAUUUCAUUUCAUUAUGAAUAUAUAAAAUUAAAAAUUAUGUAAUUUAUAAACAUGAAAUAGAUAUGGAUGUUAGGUAAUACCGGAUGUUAAAUUAAUAUAUAAAUAUUUAACUUAAUACGUACAUUAUUAUUUUAUUAAUUUAUCGUCACAUGUCAUUUACCAGUUGCCUAAUUACGAAAAGUUUCAUAUGACAUUAACCUCAAAAAUGAUCUUUGAAAACAAACAACAACAAAUAACUCAAAGAAAUAACUACAUACUACAUAAUAAUAACUGAUAAUAAUGACUUUUAAUGGUAUAAAGGCUGAUGAAGUUUUAGACAACCAAUACAAGAUUCAGAACUCGGCAUCGCGAUAAACAAGUAAAAUUGUACAUUCAGGAACUCGUUUAAAUAUUAUAGGUUGAUUGAAGAAUAAUCUACAAUUGAUUAGAGCCUAUGAUGAUGCGAAGAUAAUUAAUAUCACCUAACUUUAAGAAACCAGCCUAAAGAAGUUUACAUGCAUCUCAUCUAACCAUUAUAGGUACAUUUUAUCUUCUAGAUCAGUAGUGAUUUUUCAUAAUUUGAAUGAACUCACAGAUAGCAAUGGGGCACUGCACCGAAGCAGUAUUACAAAAUGUGAAAUAAAACUGUAGUACAAAUUGCUCUAUAAAAUUUAAUAGAAAUAAAUUUAUUUAUGAAAAUUAAUGAAGUUUUAUCUUUCCUAGGAAAAAAAUAACAAUUAUAUUUUGAACAAUUAAUUUAGAACAUUAGAGUUAAAAAAAUAUAUGUGUUAGAAAUUGUAACACAUAUUUUUUUAACUCUAUGUUAUUCUAACUUAGAAUAACAUAUUUUUAAUAAAAUUGCGCUUAUAGUUUAUACUUUUUUGCUAUUAUAUCAAUAAGAACUAACGUAAGGAGCAAUUCAUUUAUACUAUAAACACACAUGCAUAUUUUUUGA